Molecule: ribosomal RNA, 257 nt
Filed under: uncultured bacterium
Lineage: Bacteria
Description: partial 16S ribosomal RNA
Source: RNAcentral
CUGCUGCCUCCCGUAGGAGUCUGGGCCGUGUCUCAGUCCCAAUGUGGCCGUCCGCCCUCUCAGGCCGGCUACUGAUCGUCGCCUUGGUGGGCCGUUACCCCGCCAACUGGCUAAUCAGACGCGGAUCCAUCGUAUACCGCCGGAGCUUUUCACACUGUCCCAUGCGGGACCGUGCGCUUAUGCGGUAUAGCACCUGUUUCCAGGUGUUAUCCCCCUGUAUACGGCAGGUUAUCCACGCGUUACUCACCCGUCCGCCA